Molecule: long non-coding RNA, 369 nt
Organism: Carassius auratus (goldfish)
Lineage: Eukaryota; Metazoa; Chordata; Actinopteri; Cypriniformes; Cyprinidae
Exons: 3
Source: RefSeq, a predicted model, not a curated record
UCCAGAACUCCAGCACUGGAACUAAGAGAGAGAACAAUAAAACAUUGGCUCCUAAAAUCACCCUGACCCCUGCUUUACCUGCUGCGCCAACAAAAGUUUGUUCCAGACCUUCCUCUCCCACUCUGAGCGUCAGUGAAUCAGACACACAUGUCAGGCCUCCCCCCAGACUGGCCUCAUUUCCCCCAGAGAGAUUACUGCAUGAUGAUAUGUCUGCACAGAUAUCAUUUCAGAUUUCCAUGUGCUUCCCUCCACACCAGACACAUGGAGCAAAUAACCAGCCAUAUCCAUUCCCUGAAGUCUUCAUCACAAUCGGACAACCAGGGGAGGCUAUAGUAAUUCCUCUCAGCCCUAGGCCUGGCAGACCGGUCU